AUGGCUUGGGAACAAGUGUGUGCGCCCAAAUGGGCAGGCGGCCUCGGCAUUCCGAAUCUACGGUGGCUCAAUCGUGCUUUGCUAGCUCGGUGGCUUUGGUUGCAAAAAAUGGACCAACAAUAACCAUGGAGGGAAUUCAACUUACCCACCUCCGACGAGGCGAAAGCCAUAUAUCAGGCUGCUACGUUCGUGGAUGUUGGCAAGGGCGAGGAGGCCCUGUUUUGGGAGGAUCGUUGGAUUGAUGGAUAUAGAGUCGAGGAUCUCGCACCGGUCGUCUAUGACAUGGUAGCACCGAGAAUCAGAAACACACGGACGGUGGAGCGAGCCAUGCAUGGG
This 336-nucleotide ribosomal RNA is filed under the name Triticum aestivum (bread wheat). Its description in RNAcentral is "partial small subunit ribosomal RNA". Lineage: Eukaryota; Viridiplantae; Streptophyta; Magnoliopsida; Poales; Poaceae. The record is from RNAcentral.